Molecule: ribosomal RNA, 116 nt
Filed under: Citrobacter freundii
Lineage: Bacteria; Pseudomonadati; Pseudomonadota; Gammaproteobacteria; Enterobacterales; Enterobacteriaceae
Source: RNAcentral
CCUGGCGGCUGUAGCGCGGUUGUCCCACCUGACCCCAUGCCGAACUCAGAAGUGAAACGCCGUAGCGCCGAUGGUAGUGUGGGGUCUCCCCAUGCGAGAGUAGGGAACUGCCAGGC